AAAUUGAACAAUUAUAAUUUUUUAGGAAAAAAUUAAAUUACUAAUAACUAACAGUUAAUACACUUAUUAAAUCUACUAAAUUUUUAAUUUACAUAUUUUUUAACUAUUUUAAUAUUUAUUCCUAAUUUUUUCACAUAUGCCCUUAUAAAAUAAUUUAAUUACUAAUAAGCUCUUACAAAAUUUUAUGUUGUGAAUAUACCAAUUUAAUUUAUUUUUAUUUAAAUUAAUUAAAUUAUAAAAUUAUUUAUGUUUAAAUUUAUUUAAUUAAUAAUUAGGAUAAUAAAUUAAUAUAAGAACAUAGAAAUAUUAAUUAAAAUGUAUUAAUAAAUAGCUUCUUCCAACAGCUGAGAUGAUUAGAGUGGCUUUAGGGGUUCUACAAUAAGUAUUUUUAUUAACUUGUAUUUAAUACAUCUAUUAAAUUUACUAUAUUUUUCAUUUAUAUAUAAUAUUUAAUAAUUUUUUUUCACAGAUGCUUUUAUAAAAUAAUUUAGUUGCUAAUAAGUUCUUAGAAAAGUUACGUGGCAAAUAAAUCAAUUUACACUAUUUUUAUUUAAAUUACUUUUUAAAUUUAUUUAAUUAAUAAUUAAGAGAAUAAAAUAAUAUAAAUAUUCUAAUUAAAUAUUAUUAUUAAAAUAUCUUAUAUCCACAGCAUCGCGCGGCUAAUUCACUAAUUUAACAUAAUGUGAUAGUGAGCUAAUAAGUAUCCAAAGUUGAGAAAUCAUUUUAGCCAUUUUAAUAUCUAACAAAGCAAGGCAAUUCAGUCCACAAAUUUUUUUUUUAAAGCAAACUAGUAUAUACCCACACAGCAAAUGAUUAGUUGAGGGCCAUUUGGUUCGAUAAUUACAUACAACUUAUUUGGUUCGAUGUAAUAAAAAGUAUUAACUUAUUUGGUUCGAUGUAAUAAAAAGUAUUGUAGUUAUAAAUAUUUUAUUGUUUUAUAUAGUUGAGAGUUUAUAAGUAUUUUAUUGUUUUAUAUAGUUGAGAGUUACAUUUAUUAUUUUAUAUUAUCUACAGUAGUGCUUGGUGUUAUUAGAUUUUCGGCUCUUGAAUAAAAAGAUGUUCGGUUAGGAAGAUAGCAAUCUCCGGUUAGAAUGAUAAUAGCUUCCUAGAGUUGAGUGGGUGGUUAGUUGAAUAGUAUGAUCUAACGGGUGAAAAUGGUCAAAGUGGUAGAUCUAAUGGCGGAAACUCUAUAGUAUCAAGCGCUUGAUACUAUCGAUAGUAUAGUAGCUGUACUAUAUAUAUAU
RNAcentral lists this long non-coding RNA (1244 nucleotides) under Ananas comosus (pineapple). RNAcentral's name for it is "long non-coding RNA (ACOM_LNC011713)". The record is from RNAcentral. Lineage: Eukaryota; Viridiplantae; Streptophyta; Magnoliopsida; Poales; Bromeliaceae.